This 626-nucleotide ribosomal RNA is filed under the name Bacillus pumilus. RNAcentral's name for it is "bacterial SSU rRNA". It matches the Rfam family "Bacterial small subunit ribosomal RNA", at positions 415 to 1030 of the family's 1533-position model. Lineage: Bacteria; Bacillati; Bacillota; Bacilli; Caryophanales; Bacillaceae. The record is from RNAcentral.
UUUUCGGAUCGUAAAGCUCUGUUGUUAGGGAAGAACAAGUGCGAGAGUAACUGCUCGCACCUUGACGGUACCUAACCAGAAAGCCACGGCUAACUACGUGCCAGCAGCCGCGGUAAUACGUAGGUGGCAAGCGUUGUCCGGAAUUAUUGGGCGUAAAGGGCUCGCAGGCGGUUUCUUAAGUCUGAUGUGAAAGCCCCCGGCUCAACCGGGGAGGGUCAUUGGAAACUGGGAAACUUGAGUGCAGAAGAGGAGAGUGGAAUUCCACGUGUAGCGGUGAAAUGCGUAGAGAUGUGGAGGAACACCAGUGGCGAAGGCGACUCUCUGGUCUGUAACUGACGCUGAGGAGCGAAAGCGUGGGGAGCGAACAGGAUUAGAUACCCUGGUAGUCCACGCCGUAAACGAUGAGUGCUAAGUGUUAGGGGGUUUCCGCCCCUUAGUGCUGCAGCUAACGCAUUAAGCACUCCGCCUGGGGGAGUACGGUCGCAAGACUGAAACUCAAAGGAAUUGACGGGGGCCCGCACAAGCGGUGGAGCAUGUGGUUUAAUUCGAAGCAACGCGAAGAACCUUACCAGGUCUUGACAUCCUCUGACAACCCUAGAGAUAGGGCUUUCCCUUCGGGGGACAGA